RNAcentral lists this ribosomal RNA (1389 nucleotides) under uncultured bacterium. Its description in RNAcentral is "16S ribosomal RNA". It matches the Rfam family "Bacterial small subunit ribosomal RNA". The record is from RNAcentral.
AGAGUUUGAUCCUGGCUCAGGAUGAACUCUGGCGGCGUGCUUAACACAUGCAAGUCGAACGAAGCGUCAGGACGGAUUCCUUCGGGAAGAAGACCUGAUUGCUUAGUGGCGGACGGGUGAGUAACGCGUGGGUAACCUACCUUACAUUGGGGGAUAACGAUUGGAAACGAUCGCUAAUACCGCAUAAGACCACAGUACCGCAUGAUACAGAGGUAAAAGAUUUAUUGAUGUAAGAUGGACCCGCGUCUGAUUAGAUAGUUGGCGGGGCAACGGCCCUCCAAGUCUGCGAUCAGUAGCCGGACUGAGAGGUUGAACGGCCACAUUGGAACUGAGAUACGGUCCAGACUCCUACGGGAGGCAGCAGUGGGGAAUAUUGGGCAAUGGGCGCAAGCCUGACCCAGCGACGCCGCGUGAAGGAAGAAGGCCCUCGGGUUGUAAACUUCAGUCAACAGGGAAGAAACAAAUGACGGUACCUGUGGAGGAAGCCACGGCUAACUACGUGCCAGCAGCCGCGGUAAUACGUAGGUGGCAAGCGUUAUCCGGAUUUACUGGGUGUAAAGGGUGUGUAGGCGGGUUUGCAAGUCAGAUGUGAAAAUUAUGGGCUCAACUCAUAACUUGCAUUUGAAACUGUAGAUCUUGAGUGUCGGAGAGGUAAAUGGAAUUCCCAGUGUAGCGGUGAAAUGCGUAGAUAUUGGGAGGAACACCAGUGGCGAAGGCGAUUUACUGGACGAUUACUGACGCUGAGACACGAAAGUGUGGGGAGCAAACAGGAUUAGAUACCCUGGUAGUCCACACUGUAAACGAUGAAUGCUAGGUGUGAGGGCGAUUAAGUCUUCGUGCCGCAGUUAACACAAUAAGCAUUCCACCUGGGGAGUACGACCGCAAGGUUGAAACUCAAAGGAAUUGACGGGGACCCGCACAAGCAGUGGAGUAUGUGGUUUAAUUCGAAGCAACGCGAAGAACCUUACCAAGGCUUGACAUAUAAGUGCAUACAGCUUAAUCGCUUAAACCCUUCGGGGCGCUUAUACAGGUGGUGCAUGGUUGUCGUCAGCUCGUGUCGUGAGAUGUUGGGUUAAGUCCCGCAACGAGCGCAACCCCUGUUGUUAGUUGCCAUCAUUCAGUUGGGCACUCUAACGAGACUGCCGGUGAUAAAUCGGAGGAAGGUGGGGACGACGUCAAAUCAUCAUGCCCCUUAUGUCUUGGGCUACACACGUACUACAAUGGCUGUUACAGAAGGAAGCUAAGGAGCAAUCCGGAGCGAAUCCCCAAAGGCAGUCUCAGUUCGGAUUGUGGGCUGCAACCCGCCCACAUGAAGUCGGAAUUGCUAGUAAUUGCAGGUCAGCAUACUGCAGUGAAUACGUUCCCGGGUCUUGCACUCACCGCCCGUCA